AACUUUGUAUUGAUUAAAAGUUAACAUAGGUCAAACUUAUAGCAUGGUAAUUAAAGUAAAAAGAAUUAAAAAUUAACCAAAAUUCUAUAUAACCCAGCAAGAAACAUUAAACUAUUAUAGAAAUAUUAAUUUAAUUUAGCCUAUCUAAGCUGGACCUAUUAGGUGCCAGCAGUCGCGGUCACACCUAACAGAUAAGUUAACUUUUUCAGGUAAGCUAAAGGAAAAAAUUUCUAUAUUCAGGUGAAAUUAUUAUAGAAAUCUAUUCUGCUUUCCUAAUAUACUGCUUAAGCUCUGGAAAUAAACUAGGAUUAGAUACCCUACUAUAUAGAGUGUAAAAUUUUCACCUAAGCACUAUGACUAUAAAGUUAAAACUUAAACUACAUGGCGGCAGCUAGAAAUUUCAGGGGAACUUGCCAGAUAAAUGAUAAUCCUCAAAUUAACUCUACUCUUAUUAAAAGUUUGUAUAUCGCCGUCUUCAGCAUUCAUUUUAGAUGAAUUCGUAAUGUUUCAAAACAAAAAGACAGGUUCUGAUGCAGCCAAUAUAAGAGUCCAGAGGUGAGUUACAAUGAAUAAUAAUUUUAGAUUUUCUUUGAAAACAAAGUUAUGAAAAUGGACUUGAAAGUAACAAUUAUAAUAUACAUUAAUUGAAUUAAAAAUCUAGCUGUGCACAAAUCGCCCGUCACUUUCGUUGAAAAAUGAAAUAAGUCGUAACAUAGUAGGUGUACCGGAAGGUGCACC
RNAcentral lists this non-coding RNA (738 nucleotides) under Doriprismatica atromarginata. Lineage: Eukaryota; Metazoa; Mollusca; Gastropoda; Nudibranchia; Chromodorididae. The record is from RNAcentral.